ACGCUGGCGGCGCGCCUAACACAUGCAAGUCGAACGGAGACACUCUGUUCACUGAAUGGUAGAAGGCGGCGGAACCAGAAAGGGAGCGUCGGUUUUCUACUGUUGAGUGAAUGGAGUGUCUUAGUGGCGGACGGGUGAGUAACGCGUGAAUAACCUGCCUUGCAGUGGGGAAUAACACACCGAAAGGUGUGCUAAUACCGCAUGAUGUAAGGGGAAGGCAUCUUCCCCUUACCAAAGAUUUAUCGCUGUGAGAUGGAUUCGCGUCCGAUUAGAUAGUUGGUGAGGUAACGGCCCACCAAGUCGACGAUCGGUAGCCGGACUGAGAGGUUGAACGGCCACAUUGGGACUGAGACACGGCCCAGACUCCUACGGGAGGCAGCAGUGGGGGAUAUUGCACAAUGGGCGCAAGCCUGAUGCAGCGACGCCGCGUGUGGGAAGACGGCCCUCGGGUUGUAAACCACUGGCUUUGGGGACGAUAAUGACGGUACCCAAGGAGGAAGCUCCGGCUAACUACGUGCCAGCAGCCGCGGUAAUACGUAGGGAGCGAGCGUUGUCCGGAAUUACUGGGUGUAAAGGGAGCGUAGGCGGGAGUGCAAGUUGAAUGUUUAAUCUAUGGGCUCAACCCAUAUCAGCGUUCAAAACUGCAUUUCUUGAGUGAAGUAGAGGUUGGCGGAAUUCCUAGUGUAGCGGUGAAAUGCGUAUAUAUUAUGAGGAACACCAGUG
This 723-nucleotide ribosomal RNA is filed under the name uncultured organism. Its description in RNAcentral is "SSU rRNA". It matches the Rfam family "Bacterial small subunit ribosomal RNA", at positions 33 to 714 of the family's 1533-position model. The record is from RNAcentral.